GUGGGGAAUCUUAGACAAUGGGCGCAAGCCUGAUCUAGCCAUGCCGCGUGAUCGAUGAAGGCCUUAGGGUUGUAAAGAUCUUUCAGUGGGGAAGAUAAUGACUGUACCCACAGAAGAAGCCCCGGCUAACUCCGUGCCAGCAGCCGCGGUAAUACGGAGGGGGCUAGCGUUGUUCGGAAUUACUGGGCGUAAAGCGCACGUAGGCGGAACAGAAAGUCAGAGGUGAAAUCCCAGGGCUCAACCUUGGAACUGCCUUUGAAACUCCUGUUCUUGAGUUCGAGAGAGGUGAGUGGAAUUCCGAGUGUAGAGGUGAAAUUCGUAGAUAUUCGGAGGAACACCAGUGGCGAAGGCGGCCUUUUGGCCCAGCACUGACACUCAGACCCGAAAGCGUGGGUAGCAAACAGGAUUAGAUACCCUAGUAGUCC
This 425-nucleotide ribosomal RNA is filed under the name uncultured bacterium. RNAcentral describes it as "partial 16S ribosomal RNA". It matches the Rfam family "Bacterial small subunit ribosomal RNA", at positions 354 to 796 of the family's 1533-position model. The record is from RNAcentral.